RNAcentral lists this ribosomal RNA (500 nucleotides) under uncultured bacterium. RNAcentral describes it as "partial 16S ribosomal RNA". It matches the Rfam family "Bacterial small subunit ribosomal RNA", at positions 29 to 523 of the family's 1533-position model. The record is from RNAcentral.
AUUGAACGCUGGCGGAAUGCUUUACACAUGCAAGUCGAACGGCAGCGCGGGGGCAACCCUGGUGGCGAGUGGCGAACGGGUGAGUAAUACAUCGGAACGUGCCCAGUCGUGGGGGAUAACGUAGCGAAGGUUACGCUAAUACCGCAUACGAUCUACGGAUGAAAGCGGGGGACCGUAAGGCCUCGCGCGAUUGGAGCGGCCGAUGUCAGAUUAGGUAGUUGGUGAGGGAAAGGCUCACCAAGCCGACGAUCUGUAGCUGGUCUGAGAGGACGACCAGCCACACGGGGACUGAGACACGGCCCAGACUCCUACGGGAGGCAGCGGUGGGGAAUUUUGGACAAUGGGCGCAAGCCUGAUCCAGCCAUUCCGCGUGCAGGACGAAGGCCUUCGGGUUGUAAACUGCUUUUGUACGGAACGAAAAGGCUCUGGUUAAUACCUGGGGCUCAUGACGGUACCGUAAGAAUAAGCGCCGGCUAACUACGUGCCAGCAGCCGCCGCCG